AGCUCCAAUAGCGUAUAUUAAAGUUGCUGCAGUUAAAAAGCUCGUAGUUGACAAUCGGCGCUCGUCUCGGCGGUCCUGUUCACGCAGGCACUGCCUUGACGGCCUCUACACACUGGCUUAUGGCCGUGCAUGCUCAGCGAUGGGUGGUACGUGUCAAAGCCCCGGGUGUCCUUCACUGGGUGCCCGUGGGUGGCCUUUGCGUUUACUUUGAAGAAAUUAGAGUGUUCAAAGCGGGCUCUUGAUAGCUCGAAUAUUCGUACAUGGAAUAAUGGAAUAGGACCCUGGUUCAUUCUGUUGGUCUCUGGACAUUGGGUAAUGAUUAAAAGGGACUGCCGGGGGCAUUAGUAUGGCGGGGGGAGAGGUGAAAUUCUGUGAUCCUCGCCAGACUGACUACAGCGAAAGCAUUUGCCAAGAAUGUCUUCA
Molecule: ribosomal RNA, 423 nt
Filed under: marine Metazoa environmental sample
Lineage: Eukaryota; Metazoa
Description: SSU rRNA
Rfam family: Eukaryotic small subunit ribosomal RNA
Source: RNAcentral